GUAGGUGGCAAGCGUUAUCCGGAUUUACUGGGUGUAAAGGGCGUGUAGGCGGGAUUGCAAGUCAGAUGUGAAAACCCAGGGCUCAACCCUGGGACUGCAUUUGGAACUGCCAGGCUGGAGUGCAGGAGAGGUAAGCGGAAUUCCUAGUGUAGCGGUGAAAUGCGUAGAUAUUAGGAGGAACACCAGUGGCGAAGGCGGCUUACUGGACUGUAACUGACGUUGAGGCUCGAAAGCGUGGGGAGCAAACAGGAUUAGAUACCCUGGUAGUCCACGCGGUAAACGAUGACUGCUAGGUGUAGGUGGGUAUGGACCCAUCGGUGCCGCAGCUAACGCAAUAAGCAAUCCACCUGGGGAGU
RNAcentral lists this ribosomal RNA (356 nucleotides) under uncultured bacterium. Its description in RNAcentral is "bacterial SSU rRNA". It matches the Rfam family "Bacterial small subunit ribosomal RNA", at positions 527 to 881 of the family's 1533-position model. The record is from RNAcentral.